UCCAGACUCCUACGGGAGGCAGCAGUGAGGAAUAUUGGUCAAUGGCCGGAAGGCUGAACCAGCCAUGCCGCGUGAAGGUCAGUGCCCUAUGGGCGUUAAACUUCUUUUGUGCGGGAGCAAUAAUGGUCACGUGUGGCCAGACGAGAGUACCGUACGAAUAAGCACCGGCUAACUACGUGCCAGCAGCCGCGGUAAUACGUAGGGUGCGAGCGUUAAUCGGAAUUACUGGGCGUAAAGGGUGUGCAGGCGGCUGAGUAAGACAGAUGUGAAAUCCCCGGGCUUAACCUGGGAACCGCAUAUGUGACUGCUUGGCUAGAGUGCGUCAGAGGGAGGUGGAAUUCCACGUGUAGCAGUGAAAUGCGUAGAUAUGUGGAAGAACACCGAUGGCGAAGGCAGCCUCCUGGGACGCAACUGACGCUCAUACACGAAAGCGUGGGGAGCAAACAGGAUUAGAUACCCGGGUA
Molecule: ribosomal RNA, 464 nt
Filed under: uncultured bacterium
Lineage: Bacteria
Description: bacterial SSU rRNA
Rfam family: Bacterial small subunit ribosomal RNA
Source: RNAcentral